Molecule: non-coding RNA, 201 nt
Organism: Pelobates cultripes (western spadefoot toad)
Lineage: Eukaryota; Metazoa; Chordata; Amphibia; Anura; Pelobatidae
Source: the annotation of a GenBank genome assembly
CCUGUGUUUACAACCUACUAGUUCCAAACAGGGUUUUCUACAGAUCAUCAUGCCUCCUAAUAGUUCAGCUGUUGGCAGGAAAGUAAAUAUUCAGGGUCCUGCUUUUUUAUUCCUUUCACUAUAGUGUUCCUAUAAGAUUCCAUCUAAACCAACUGUCCCUUAACUGCCAUAUUUUUUCUUCCUACAUCAGAGGUUCUCAAC